RNAcentral lists this long non-coding RNA (206 nucleotides) under Linum usitatissimum (flax). RNAcentral's name for it is "long non-coding RNA (LUSI_LNC000066)". The record is from RNAcentral. Lineage: Eukaryota; Viridiplantae; Streptophyta; Magnoliopsida; Malpighiales; Linaceae.
AGUGAAGUUCCCAAGUCCUUUCUUCUUGUUCACAACUACCAUCUGGCUCACCAACACUCCACCAGUUGAUACUUGGAGAAGCUUCCUCUUGCUAAACGACUCAAAAACUCGAAGAUCUUGGAUCGACAUUCGCAAUGGCAAUCCACGGUCGAGAUUGUAUUCAGCAAGGACAUGCCCUUCAAUCGGCCUUUCACUAAGCACUCUCC